GACGAACGCUGGCGGCGUGCUUAACACAUGCAAGUCGAACGGAAAGGCCCUGCUUUUGUGGGGUGCUCGAGUGGCGAACGGGUGAGUAACACGUGAGUAACCUGCCCUUGACUUUGGGAUAACUUCAGGAAACUGGGGCUAAUACAGGAUAGGAGCUCCUGCUGCAUGGUGGGGGGUGGAAAGUUUCGGCGGUUGGGGAUGGACUCGCGGCUUAUCAGCUUGUUGGUGGGGUAGUGGCUUACCAAGGCUUUGACGGGGAGCCGGCCUGAGAGGGUGACCGGCCACAUUGGGACUGAGAUACGGCCCAGACUCCUACGGGAGGCAGCAGUGGGGAAUAUUGCACAAUGGGCGGAAGCCUGAUGCAGCAACGCCGCGUGCGGGAUGACGGCCUUCGGGUUGUAAACCGCUUUCGCCUGUGACGAAGCGUGAGUGACGGUAAUGGGUAAAGAAGCACCGGCUAACUACGUG
Molecule: ribosomal RNA, 468 nt
Filed under: uncultured bacterium
Lineage: Bacteria
Description: partial 16S ribosomal RNA
Rfam family: Bacterial small subunit ribosomal RNA
Source: RNAcentral